GAGUUUGAUCCUGGCUCAGAACGAACGCUGGCGGCAGGCUUAACACAUGCAAGUCGAACGCCCCGCAAGGGGAGUGGCAGACGGGUGAGUAACGCGUGGGAAUCUACCGUACCCUACGGAAUAACGCAUGGAAACGUGUGCUAAUACCGUAUACGCCCUUCGGGGGAAAGAUUUAUCGGGGUAUGAUGAGCCCGCGUUGGAUUAGCUAGUUGGUGGGGUAAAGGCCUACCAAGGCGACGAUCCAUAGCUGGUCUGAGAGGAUGAUCAGCCACAUUGGGACUGAGACACGGCCCAAACUCCUACGGGAGGCAGCAGUGGGGAAUAUUGGACAAUGGGCGCAAGCCUGAUCCAGCCAUGCCGCGUGAGUGAUGAAGGUCUUAGGAUUGUAAAGCUCUUUCACCGAUGAAGAUAAUGACGGUAGUCGGAGAAGAAGCCCCGGCUAACUUCGUGCCAGCAGCCGCGGUAAUACGAAGGGGGCUAGCGUUGUUCGGAAUUACUGGGCGUAAAGCGCACGUAGGCGGAUAUUUAAGUCAGGGGUGAAAUCCCGCAGCUCAACUGCGGAACUGCCUUUGAUACUGGGUAUCUCGAGUAUGGAAGAGGUGAGUGGAAUUCCGAGUGUAGAGGUGAAAUUCGUAGAUAUUCGGAGGAACACCAGAGGCGAAGGCGGCUCACUGGUCCAUUACUGACGCUGAGGUGCGAAAGCGUGGGGGAGCAGACAGGAUUAGAUACCCUGGUAGUCCACGCCGUAAACCAUGAAUGUUAGCCCCCGGGCAUCUUGCUGUUCGGUGGCGCAGCUACGCAUUAAACAUUCCGCCGGGGGAGACGGGUCG
Molecule: ribosomal RNA, 830 nt
Filed under: uncultured bacterium
Lineage: Bacteria
Description: bacterial SSU rRNA
Rfam family: Bacterial small subunit ribosomal RNA
Source: RNAcentral